This 452-nucleotide ribosomal RNA is filed under the name uncultured bacterium. RNAcentral describes it as "bacterial SSU rRNA". It matches the Rfam family "Bacterial small subunit ribosomal RNA", at positions 32 to 461 of the family's 1533-position model. The record is from RNAcentral.
AAUCAACGCUGGCGGCGUGCCUCAGACAUGCAAGUCGAACGCGAAACCUUCCUUCGGGAGGGGAGUAGAGUGGCGCACGGGUGAGUAACACGUAGGUAAUUUGCCUUCGGGUGGGGAAUAACAGCCGGAAACGGCUGCUAAUACCGCAUAAUGCAGCGGCUCGACAUCGAGACAGUUGUUAAAGCGGGGGAUUCGCAAGAACCUCGCGCCUGAAGAGAAGCCUGCGGCAGAUUAGCUAGUUGGUAGGGUAAUGGCCUACCAAGGCGACGAUCUGUAACCGGCCUGAGAGGGCGGUCGGUCACACUGACACUGACAUACGGGUCAGACUCCUACGGGAGGCAGCAGUCGGGAAUUUUGGGCAAUGGGCGAAAGCCUGACCCAGCAACGCCGCGUGAAGGAUGAAAUCCCUCGGGAUGUAAACUUCGUAAGAACAGGAAGAAUAAGUGGGGGAC